Molecule: long non-coding RNA, 760 nt
Organism: Phyllostomus hastatus (greater spear-nosed bat)
Lineage: Eukaryota; Metazoa; Chordata; Mammalia; Chiroptera; Phyllostomidae
Exons: 4
Source: RefSeq, a predicted model, not a curated record
GGAGAUCUUGUGGAGUGUGACAUGUUGGCGAGGUCUGUCUGACUCAGGAAGUGAAAGUGCUGCUCAUUGAGAUGGAAAGCCCCAGAAAGGGGCAUUAGAGUGAGCUCGGUUGCUGUCACCUUCAUGCCCCCUUCCUGGAAACUCCCUGGGAACCGCAGUGGGGAGGGCAGCUGAGCGGCUAUGGAUUCACAAAGGAGCCUCUUCCACCAGCUUGACAAGAUGCUUCCAGAUGUAAGCAGUGCAUUCCUAACAAGAAGUAUGGAUGAAAUCUACACUAUACUACCGGUACUACAUACCCUACAUUCUGACUCCUGAUGUUCAACUCCAGACUCUGAAAGCUGACAACCCAAGCAUUGAACUUGCUUAAUGCUAUGAAGAUUCCUGUAGAGACUUGAGCCGAAGAAGCUAGGUAAAGGGGGAAGAAAUCUGAUUUACAUCUGUUUCUUAAAAAGGGAACAUUCCAGUGUACCAGAACUUCCAUGGGGUACCCUGAAGUGUGAUAAUUUGGGACACUGACCUAUAUCUUGGAAGCAUUUUUUGGACCAUCUUUUGGCUUGUUUUACUUCUCGUAGAUUGUUAAACAAGCUUGCAGUCUCCAAGUGGAGCAGCUAGAAACAGUUAAAGUGAGAGCUGAAAUCCCAGAAACCUGGCUACUCAUUCAUUGCAAGAAACUUGUGGAUUUCCAUGUUCAGCGGUCUACCUGCCUGUUCCCAGGGAAUGAUGAAGAUGGUGGAAGACAGGAAUUGUGUGUGUGUGUGUG